GAGGAAACUCAAAUGAGUCGGGUUUUCUUCGUUGAUACCGGAAGCAGAAGAACCGGAUUGCGGGACGGGCCCGUGCUGGGUCGCGCAAAAUGACCAACUUUUACGCACGGAAACUUCACAUUCGCUGGAGUCGCGAAGCAGGGCCACUCCGAGCUGAACAGACAACCAUGAAACUUAAAUUCAGCUAAGCAACGACCGGGCCCAGGAAUGCUGACCUUGGCGAGCGAACCGGGCCAAAGACUGAGCUGCUAUUAGUAUAGCAGGGUCAAAAGAGUCAAGAUCAGAUGAAUCAGAUGUGUUGGCCGGGAUGUCCAGUGUAUGUGUGCAUCUGGUGUGGAUCCAGGUGGGUCCAGAGGGAAGUGAGGCAUUAAAGCCAGUGGAUGCAGGGGGAGAGGGGUUGUCCUCCCCUGGAGUGAGAAGAGGCUAUAAUCUGCUUCCCUGGCUCUCCAUGAAAGAAAAGAGAGGACACAGAGACACACACAAGAGACUGACCCCCUCCUACAGCUUCAUCCUUCUCAUCUGUUAUCUUCAUAUACCUCUGCUAUCCUUCUGUUUUUUCCUUCCUCAUCAACCUUUCCAUCAUAAUGUAGCCGAGUUCUUCUACAUUAAAACCACAGUAUGUCGAUUCAUUGACCAUGACCGUCACGCCAAGCUGUAUCAAUUAGGUAAAACAUUUUUGGCUUUCUUUAUUUAUAAAAAAAGGAAUUUCCUCGAUGGCAUCGGAGAGCCUUUAAAGCUUGUAUAAGAUGGCAUUUGAGAACCAUUUCAAUUUAAUAUAGAAUUUUUUUUCUAUACAGUAGUUUUAUCUGAAUGCAAACUUUUUGGGACGGUUUCCCGAACAGGGAUUAGACUAGUCCUAGACUAAAAUAAAAUGUAAGAGCUGUCCAUACUGAAAACAACUUGUACUGACAUAUCUUAAAAUACAUCAGUGCCCUUUGUUUUGCCUCAAAAUGCACGCCAGUAAUGUUUUUAAUAAGGCAUGUUGUUUAAAACUAGUUAUAUUUCCUAAUUAAACUAAGCCCUAGUCCUGGCUUAAGAUAAUCCCUUUCCGCGAAACCACCCCUUUAAGUUUCAC
Misgurnus anguillicaudatus (oriental weatherfish) is the source of this 1075-nucleotide non-coding RNA. NCBI's taxonomy places the organism in Eukaryota, Metazoa, Chordata, Actinopteri, Cypriniformes, Cobitidae. The record is from RefSeq and is a predicted model, not a curated record.